This 55-nucleotide transfer RNA is filed under the name Escherichia coli. RNAcentral's name for it is "tRNA-Lys". It matches the Rfam family "tRNA", at positions 8 to 60 of the family's 71-position model. From Rfam's summary of the family: Transfer RNA (tRNA) molecules are approximately 80 nucleotides in length. Their secondary structure includes four short double-helical elements and three loops (D, anti-codon, and T loops). Lineage: Bacteria; Pseudomonadati; Pseudomonadota; Gammaproteobacteria; Enterobacterales; Enterobacteriaceae. RNAcentral also lists the same sequence under 19 other names. The record is from RNAcentral.
UAGCUCAGUUGGUAGAGCAGUUGACUUUUAAUCAAUUGGUCGCAGGUUCGAAUCC